This 333-nucleotide ribosomal RNA is filed under the name Triticum aestivum (bread wheat). RNAcentral describes it as "partial small subunit ribosomal RNA". The record is from RNAcentral. Lineage: Eukaryota; Viridiplantae; Streptophyta; Magnoliopsida; Poales; Poaceae.
AUGGAUGUAUUACAGUCACGGUCGGCAGACCUAUCAAUUUCUCGAGUCCUGAAAAAAGGCCACAAAUAUGACCAAAAAUAUCCAUGGCAUGAUGAUCGUUUGUCUGCUGUUGUACAUGUGUCAUCGAUGCAACUAGGAGCAAUGUCAGAAAGCCAAGGCAUGAGUCUAUCGACGAUCCUAACAUAUCGUAAUAUCAUACUAUAUGGGCAUGGAAUUCUGAACGAGUUGUCAUUUCGUUUGCUCAUUUUUUCGCCCUCUAACAUAUCAUUUAUCCCGAUGCCUUCCAUUGUCAGAGCUCUUCGCCAUGUUCUUGACCGGGAACCGCUAUUUUAA